AUGCUGCCCGAUUUGUUCUGCGCAUGUCAAAUGUUUUACGACACACGUCACUCGUCAGGUUUGAAUUGUACUUGCGAGUCAUUUUUGUGUUGACGUUUAUUUUCCGUCUGUAAGUGGACUUCUUACUGGAAAAGAUGGCAACCUUUGAAUUUUGUAACGUCUUGGAAGAAUAUUUGUCGCCUGAAAAUUUUAACUCCAUUCGAAUGAAGAGGGAGCGAAAUGAAAUGCGACAUAUGUCUGUGAACUUUAUAAUUGAUACGUAUAGCUUUUUGAUGCCCGGUGGUAACCAGCCUUCCAAGUGGCUGAACAGAUGCCAGUGUUCCCAAAUUCUGAGACACAACUGGAUGUCCUUUUCUUCUGCUUUUAAGAUUUCCAAUUCAAGAUGAUGUGCAGUUCAUUUUAGAUUUGCUGUUUCUACAGUUACAGUGAAGUAGAAGAGUCUGGCUGUGUUAUGGGGCAGCAGUUAAAGAAGAAGGAAGGAGAGAUGUGUGCCCUGUUGAAGUAGUGGCUGGUCCUCCUGCCCGCACUUCUGGAAUCCUCCAUCUCAACCUCUGUUCUGAUCUGCUGUGCCUUUGCCAAGUGAUCACGAGGUAUUGGACUAUUUUGGGUUUUUUUUCUUCUGGAAACUGUCUCAGUCUCAUUACACUGGCUGCCUGUCUCACAUAGAAUUGAUUUCAAGGUUCUAUUAAAUAUAUAGAAGGCUUUGAGUAUUUCAGAUCCUGCCAGUAUUUUGGAGUGUCUGCUCCCAACAUUUCUUUUCUCAAACAUUGCUUUGCUUUUUAUUCCAAGAUCAACCAUAAAAACCGGCAGCUUUCUGUACUCAUGUAACAAAAUCUGCAAUACUUUCCCAAUAGAGAAGUGCCAGGCUACAAAUGUUGAUCAUUUCAAAAUUUCAAAUUUGGCUUUUUCUUAAUUACUUGCAUUGGUUGUAAUAGAUUAGAAAUGGUACUGUGUACAGUUUGUCAGAUCUGCACUGGGCAGUAACUUCUGCUGUGUUUCUCUGUUGUCUUUCUCCAGUUUAUUGCAGUGGUGCCCACCUGUGUCUCCACUGUCUGUUACAUCAACUCAAACUGCCUGUGCUGCCGGAGAGAAGAAAAGUUCACAAGACGUCCUGAAAUGGAAUUGUGAUCGGACUGAGACGGCCACAAUUAUGUAUGCUGGGAAGCGCAGAGGGGGCUGUGUAGACUAUGGCUUGGGACCCCCAGAGGUUUAUUAUCUCUGGCAACCUUGAAAGCUGCAAGUUUGUCUUUGUCCCCAGCCAUUUGACCAGGCAAUGUAUUUAUUACAAAGGACAAGGACCCAUCCAUUUGCUUCUUAUUUACUUUUAUAAUGUCUUCAAUUUUCUUUGUAACUGUAUAUUUUUGUGGCACAAUUUGAGCUACACUUGUAAGCAAAGGUGAUAUAGAAAUAUUAUUAGUGAACAAAUGUUAAGGGACAGAUCAGGAAAAAUGCCAGUUUAAAUAGAACACAUUUUUAUGGAAUAUUGCUGGAUAAUAACUCUGACUCUGAGUAGUAUCUUGUUCAUAAAGCUAAAGUAGCAUUUUUCCUUUUUUGACAAAUUUAAUUAUUCACUUUUAUUGUGUUCAAAGCCUUGGCUAACAUUUUUUUUAAUACCAAGGUAAAAAUCUGUAAAUAUGUUUGUGUUCCCUUUCCCUAAUAGUUUUUAACACCUCCCCUUGUUGGCCAUUUUCAUUGUAUUUGUGUUCUAGUUAAAUGCGUUUAUCAUUUAUACAUC
Erpetoichthys calabaricus (reedfish) is the source of this 1735-nucleotide long non-coding RNA. RefSeq lists it as uncharacterized. The record is from RefSeq and is a predicted model, not a curated record. Lineage: Eukaryota; Metazoa; Chordata; Cladistia; Polypteriformes; Polypteridae. The transcript is spliced from 3 exons.